RNAcentral lists this ribosomal RNA (505 nucleotides) under uncultured bacterium. RNAcentral's name for it is "bacterial SSU rRNA". It matches the Rfam family "Bacterial small subunit ribosomal RNA", at positions 28 to 507 of the family's 1533-position model. The record is from RNAcentral.
GAUGAACGCUGGCGGCGUGCUUAACACAUGCAAGUCGAACGAGCUUUAUUACUACGAUCCCUUCGGGGUGACGGUUUUAAAGCGAGUGGCGGACGGGUGAGUAACGCGUGGAUAACCUGCCAUAUACUGGGGGAUAACAGCUGGAAACAGCUGCUAAUACCGCAUAAAACUGUAGAGUCGCAUGACUUUAUAGCCAAAGCUCCGGCGGUGUAUGAUGGAUCCGCGUCUGAUUAGGCAGUUGGCGGGGUAACGGCCCACCAAACCGACGAUCAGUAGCCGACCUGAGAGGGUGACCGGCCACAUUGGGACUGAGACACGGCCCAGACUCCUACGGGAGGCAGCAGUGGGGAAUAUUGCACAAUGGACGCAAGUCUGAUGGAGCAACGCCGCGUGAGUGAAGAAGGUUUUCGGAUCGUAAAGCUCUGUUGUUGGUGAAGAAGGAUAGAGGUAGUAACUGGCCUUUAUUUGACGGUAAUCAACCAGAAAGUACACGGCUAACUACGUG